Molecule: long non-coding RNA, 1030 nt
Organism: Bos indicus x Bos taurus (hybrid cattle)
Lineage: Eukaryota; Metazoa; Chordata; Mammalia; Artiodactyla; Bovidae
Source: Ensembl
GCUCAAGGAGAGCUCCUCGGCUCCCUUCCAGCCCCCCGGGAAAAGUCCGACGCAGGAAAAGCAGCCCGUCUGUUUUGUCUGCAGGCGUCUGAGGCGAGCUCUGCUCCUACACAGAACAGAGCGAUUCAUGCAGAAGGUCGGGAAGAGAGGUGCCCAUUUUCCAGGGGCUGCGAUGCCAAUUCCAGUUGCAGUAAGAAGGUGACGGGAGCCUGGAGGACUGGCUAUGCCAAGAUGCCACAUAAAACCUGGGGAAGGGGAUGUCAUAAACUGAAGUCAGGAAAGGAUGGCAUCACUCUGUGACACUCCUGCUAUGCAGAAUGAACUGGGAAGGUCAAGGUUUCAACAUGGAAAUAUCCCCCGAGGCUUCCAAAUGUUGUUGUUGGCUUUCUGGCUUGUUUGUUGAAUCUGUAGGGGGGCAGCCCUGCUCUUUGUAGUAGGCAAAGAGGCAAAAUGGGGCUCAGGGCAUGGCUGGGAAAUGAAAUUGAAAUUGUUCUAUUUUUGGACUGAAAAUGCUCAAACAUUCUCUAUUGUCAGCUGCUACGAAAAUCUUAUAAAUCUGUACGGCCCAACAGGGUAGCAGCCAGCUGCAUUGUAUUUGAAGUUAAACUUGCACUAGCCACAUUUCAAGUGCUCAGAAGCCAUAAGCAGCUGAUGGCUGCUUCAUUGGACAGUGCAGAUGAAGGCCAUUUCCAUUGCAGCAGAAAGUUCUAUUGGACAGUGCUCUUUUAGACACUAGCUUCUUGGUGCCCUUUGCUCAGACCCUAGACUCUGAGUGCUGCUUCAUAUAGUGUUGUGGUAAGAAUAGCAAUUACAUUAAUAAUAAUGAUGAGGAUGGGCUGGUUUUGCCAGGCACUGGGCUAAAGUGUUCCAUAUGUGGCAGGUUAAUUUAGUGAGAAGUUAAUUUUUUCAUCAUUGCCUUCUUUCUCUCUCCCCAUCCAAAAAUCCAAGAAAGAAGUGACCAAGGAGAAGUUGCUGUUGAAGAACCAAGAAUCAAAGUCAGCUGAAUAUAACAUAUCUCCUUCUCUUUGGC